AACGAACGCUGGCGGCAUGCCUAACACAUGCAAGUCGAACGAGACCUUCGGGUCUAGUGGCGCACGGGUGCGUAACGCGUGGGAACCUGCCCUUAGGUUCGGAAUAACUCCCCGAAAGGGGUGCUAAUACCGGAUAAUGUCUUCGGACCAAAGAUUUAUCGCCUUUGGAUGGGCCCGCGUUGGAUUAGCUAGUUGGUAGGGUAAAAGCCUACCAAGGCGACGAUCCAUAGCUGGUCUGAGAGGAUGAUCAGCCACACUGGGACUGAGACACGGCCCAGACUCCUACGGGAGGCAGCAGUGGGGAAUAUUGGACAAUGGGCGAAAGCCUGAUCCUGCAAUGCCGCGUGAGUGAGGAGGGCCUUAGGGUUGUAAAGCUCUUUUACCCGGGAUGAUAAUGACAGUACCGGGAGAAUAAGCUCCGGCUAACUCCGUG
RNAcentral lists this ribosomal RNA (433 nucleotides) under uncultured bacterium. RNAcentral's name for it is "partial 16S ribosomal RNA". It matches the Rfam family "Bacterial small subunit ribosomal RNA", at positions 29 to 507 of the family's 1533-position model. The record is from RNAcentral.